UAAGUACUCCCUCCGUUCCAAAAUUCUUGUCUUAGAUUUGUCUAAAUACAAAUGUAUCUAGUCAUAUUUUAGUGUUAGCUAGAUACAUUUGUAUCUUGAGAAAUUUAAGACAAGAAUUUUAGGACGGAGGGAGUAUUAA
Molecule: microRNA precursor, 139 nt
Filed under: Hordeum vulgare
Lineage: Eukaryota; Viridiplantae; Streptophyta; Magnoliopsida; Poales; Poaceae
Description: microRNA MIR1122
Rfam family: MIR1120/MIR1122 microRNA precursor family
Source: RNAcentral